This 497-nucleotide ribosomal RNA is filed under the name uncultured bacterium. RNAcentral's name for it is "partial 16S ribosomal RNA". It matches the Rfam family "Bacterial small subunit ribosomal RNA", at positions 28 to 507 of the family's 1533-position model. The record is from RNAcentral.
GAUGAACGCUGGCGGCGUGCCUAAUACAUGCAAGUCGAGCGAACGGACGAGAAGCUUGCUUCUCUGAUGUUAGCGGCGGACGGGUGAGUAACACGUGGAUAACCUACCUAUAAGACUGGGAUAACUUCGGGAAACCGGAGCUAAUACCGGAUGAUAUUUUGAACCGCAUGGUUCAAAAGUGAAAGACGGUCUUGCUGUCACUUAUAGACGGAUCCGCGCUGCAUUAGCUAGUUGGUAAGGUAAUGGCUUACCAAGGCAACGAUGCAUAGCCGACCUGAGAGGGUGAUCGGCCACACUGGAACUGAGACACGGUCCAGACUCCUACGGGAGGCAGCAGUAGGGAAUCUUCCGCAAUGGGCGAAAGCCUGACGGAGCAACGCCGCGUGAGUGAUGAAGGUCUUCGGAUCGUAAAACUCUGUUAUUAGGGAAGAACAUAUGUGUAAGUAACUGUGCACAUCUUGACGGUACCUAAUCAGAAAGCCACGGCUAACUACGUG